GUAGCACUAGCUUUAAUAAGCUAAUAAUAAAUACCGAGAAGUAGAGUUAUAUCAAACAUUAAUGAAUAUCGUGCUGCGAGAGAUGGAUACAUUAGACUAUUUCUUAGGUUCACGUUAGCCUCUUAGCUUUUUCACUAUUCAUGAUUAAAAAAUGGAUUUAGCUAGCUUUAAGCUUCACCAGUGAAGACGCUCUAAAAGGCGCUGUAAAAGUGAAGGAUGGCACGUAAUGCAUCUUUUUAGUUUGUUUUAACGAAAGAGCAAUGCGAAUGAUGGCAGCUAGACCAAUUAAUUAAUGACCCGGAGUUUGCAGCUCAAGUCCGCAUAAAAGUGAAGGAGACCAAUGCAUCUUUUUUUAUUUUAUUUUCAACGGAAGAGCAAUGCGAAUGAUGGCAGCUAGACCAAUUAAUUAAUGACUCGGAGUUUGCAGCUCAGGUCUGCAUAAAGUGAAGGAUGGUACCUACUAGACCAAUGCAUCUUUUUCAUUUUUUUUUUAACGAAAGAGCAACGCACCUUCAACUGCCAUGGAAAAGAAAUGGUACAGCCAACCAGUGCUCGUCGCCUCAAACUUAGCGCACAUGUUAGGUGUACAGCCAGCCAAACUUAGGUCUUGUUUAAUUCACCCUAAAAACUAAAAACUUUUCAAGAUUUUUCAUCAUAUCGAAUCUUGCGGCACAUGCAUAAAGCAUUAAAUAUAGACGAAAACAAAAACUAAUUCUACAGUUUGUUUGUAAAAUCACGAGAUGAAUCUUUUAAUUCUAGUUAGUUCAUUAUUGAACAAUAUUUGUCAAAUAAAAACAAAAAUGCUACAGUACCUCAACCCAAAAAAAAUUUGGGAACUAAACAAGGCCUUAGUAUGCAUAUGAAGCAUUAAAUAUAAAUAAAAAAUUAAUUGUACAUA
This 898-nucleotide long non-coding RNA is filed under the name Sorghum bicolor (sorghum). RNAcentral describes it as "long non-coding RNA (SBIC_LNC009426)". Lineage: Eukaryota; Viridiplantae; Streptophyta; Magnoliopsida; Poales; Poaceae. The record is from RNAcentral.